AACGAACGCUGGCGGCAGGCCUAACACAUGCAAGUCGAGCGCACCCUUCGGGGUGAGCGGCGGACGGGUGAGUAACGCGUGGGAACGUGCCCUUCUCUGCGGAAUAGCCUCGGGAAACUGAGAGUAAUACCGCAUACGCCCUUUCGGGGAAAGAUUUAUCGGGGAAGGAUCGGCGCGCGUUGGAUUAGGUAGUUGGUGGGGUAAUGGCCCAUCAAGCCGACGUUCCAUGGCUGGUUUGAGAGGAUGAUCAGCCACACUGGGACUGAGACACGGCCCAGACUCCUACGGGAGGCAGCAGUGGGGAAUCUUAGACAAUGGGGGCAACCCUGAUCUAGCCAUGCCGCGUGAGUGAUGAAGGCCUUAGGGUUGUAAAGCUCUUUCAGCUGGGAAGAUAAUGACGGUACCGGCAGAAGAAGCCCCGGCUAACUCCGUG
This 433-nucleotide ribosomal RNA is filed under the name uncultured bacterium. Its description in RNAcentral is "partial 16S ribosomal RNA". It matches the Rfam family "Bacterial small subunit ribosomal RNA", at positions 29 to 507 of the family's 1533-position model. The record is from RNAcentral.